Molecule: ribosomal RNA, 726 nt
Filed under: uncultured Russula
Lineage: Eukaryota; Fungi; Basidiomycota; Agaricomycetes; Russulales; Russulaceae
Description: partial 28S ribosomal RNA
Rfam family: Eukaryotic large subunit ribosomal RNA
Source: RNAcentral
UUUGACACGGACUACCAAGGCUUUGUGGUACGCUCUCGAAGAGUCGAGUUGUUUGGGAAUGCAGCUCUAAAUGGGUGGUAAAUUCCAUCUAAAGCUAAAUAUUGGCGAGAGACCGAUAGCGAACAAGUACCGUGAGGGAAAGAUGAAAAGCACUUUGGAAAGAGAGUGAAACAGUACGUGAAAUUGUUGAAAGGGAAACGCUUGAAGUCAGUCGCGUCGAUCGAGACUCAGCCUUGCCUCGGCUUGGCGUACUUCUCGGCUUGACGGGUCAGCAUCGAUUUUGACCCUCGGAUAAUGAUGGGGGAAAUGUGACACCUUUAUGGUGUGUUAUAGUCUCCCGUCGGAUGCGAGGGUUGGGAUUGAGGAACUCGGCACGUACCGUGCUUAGGAUGUUGGCAUAAUGGCUUUAAACGACCCGUCUUGAAACACGGACCAAGGAGUCUAACAUGCCCGCGAGUGUUCGGGUGGAAAACCCGUGCGCGUAAUGAAAGUAAAAGUUGGGACCCCUGUCGUGGGGGGCACCGACGCCCGGACCAGACCUUCUGUGACGGAUCUGCGGUAGAGCGUGCAUGUUGGGACCCGAAAGAUGGUGAACUAUGCCUGAAUAGGGUGAAGCCAGAGGAAACUCUGGUGGAGGCUCGUAGCGAUUCUGACGUGCAAAUCGAUCGUCAAAUUUGGGUAUAGGGGCGAAAGACUAAUCGAACCAUCUAGUAGCUGGUUCCUGCC